Pseudopodoces humilis (Tibetan ground-tit) is the source of this 154-nucleotide non-coding RNA. NCBI's taxonomy places the organism in Eukaryota, Metazoa, Chordata, Aves, Passeriformes, Paridae. The record is from RefSeq and is a predicted model, not a curated record.
CAGGACUUGAAAAAAAAGAAGGAAAAGCAACAAAGGCAGCAGUGCAAGAUAAACCAAAGAUGAAACAAGGAAAUCCUGGAAAAGAGAAAGAAUUAAAAUCUCCAGCUGCCACAAAAGAUAAAGAACAUGCUAAAGAAAAGGGAGAAAAGAAUCC